AGUACACGAUCCGUACCGCCUGCCAGAUCCGUUCUGCGCAUGCGCAUAAUUACGUAGUAGAAGACGUAACGAUUCCUCUGUAAUAUCUGUACCACGCAUGUCUUGAAACAGUUGACGGCCAAGAAGCGGCACAUUUGACGAGACCAACUUUGCAGAAAAAUUUAUUUUGACUACACCCGACGAAUUAUGUUCACAGAUUGUGCAGGUUGAUGCCACUAAAGACCACGAUUAACUUCACCAAAGGACAUGGAAAUAUGUGCGUUCAAACCACCAGAAGGUGCAGUGCAACCAAGUCCACCAAGACCCCCCAGUACACUUAAAUCCCCCAAGCCCCCCCAGGACACACAAAUCACUCAACAACAUAAAAUGACAAAAUGCCACCCCAAAUUGUCAGAUGGCACAGUUCAUGUCAUAAGUUCACCAAAAGCCCAAGGACUCAGAACAUGAAGCCAAAGAAGUAGAUGAUGACUCGGCCCAGUGACACCAAAUGGAAAAGCCCAUUGCAGUAGUCAACCCUACUGGAGAUGAAUGCAUCAAUAAGUUAUCUAAAUCAUGUUUUGACAUUAGACAUCUAAGUUUGGCCAUGUUUUUGAGGCUUAUGACUCUGCCACUGCACAUGGUUUAUAGAGAGAGGCACGCACACUCCAUUCUGUCAGAUAAAAAUGUUUGCAUGGCUCUCAUGGCAUUGGAAAUUGCCAGAAGGGAUAGGUCAAGCAGGAGCAGUGUGAAAGGCGUCCUAAUUGCUUGAGUUGGAGGGGAAACAUCUAAUGGCCACCUUACAACAAACAAGUUUGUCAAGAUUUGGGAAAGAUUCUUAAAAGAUUGUAGUAUUUUAACUAAUGCCCCCCAUUCAAGCUUUACUCAAAAGACUCCAAUCUUUAAGGAAUCUUUUCUCAAAUCUUGUCAAAGUUGUUUGGUGUAAGGAGGCAAUUAGUCUAAUAGCCUUGCACCAAACCACCAAAGUACUCAUGACUGUCAGGUAGGGGUGUGACGGUAUUUUAACACUUUCAAAAAAUGUCCAGUGAUGACAUAUUAACAGCAAAAACCUUUUAUAGACUAUUUCUUUGUACAGUGUACUCAUGCAAUGGGCAGCAAUCGUGAGAUGUUUGCUUAAUGUUAUAGUUGUGAAAACAUUAGAAAAUGUUAUGGGCUUGAAAUUGCAUACAAUACCUGAUGUAUUUUUUCAUGUUACAUGAAUUAAAAUGAAGUGUUAUUUAUAUAAGAUCAUACUUAUGUGCCUAUUAGUGUGUUUAUAGUCAGAAGUUGCAGAGCAUCUUCAAAAGGAUGAACACCCAUAUGCUCUAUGGCCUUGAAGGAUUUGUUAUUUAUGCAUGCAAUAAAAUUAUAUUAACGGUCAUUGAGUCCAUGUUCUUGUCUCAACACAGCAAGUUAGUUUACUUGUUGCGCCCACCCCCUCCCUCCUCUCCUCCUAUAGGGCUCAUUCUCUCAAUGCAUUUAUUCAUGGUUGUAAUAGGCAGCAUUCAUUUAAAUGUAGGUGACCAUACUCAUCUUUGCAAGUUUACACAGGCAAAUACAUAGGCUAGCAAGUUCACAGUAAAGGAAUGAGUCAUUUGAUGAUCAUUCCAUGUGUGAAUUUGAAUGUGUGCUCUCGUUUUGAUGCAGUGUUGCCUCCUGAAACGCGUACGCAGGUGUCGUGCGUGGAUGCAUGCAAACGUUAUGGGCCACUAAAUGAAAGUAUCCAGUUCCCAGAUCAGUUCAUAUUUCAUUAUUAAAUUAUAACAAUGUUACAUGUGAAAACAAAGACUUAACAGUUAGCGUGAGGAGACGGCAUGUAGGCUAAUGAGAGCUGUCAAUUGUGUAACCUAGCUUAAGUGUAAACUAGAAAGCUGUUUCGUACAUCUCAUCCAGGGUUUUGGUCUGUAGAAGUUACAACUACAAAUAUUUUUUUUUUUACGUUCUUCACGUUUUCAUGCCGUUGAUUCAUCGUGGAAUUUCGGUCGUCUGACAGAAACUGACCAAUCUGGGAUGCGUUUCCCAAAUAGUUGCUAACCUGUUAGUUGGUUGGCAAUGGGGAAAUUGUAUUGCAACCAGCUAAGUUGCUAACUUAGCAGCUAGGAAACGCAACCCUGACCAAUCAACGUUGAUUCGACCUCCUUUGCUAUCUGGGUAGCCUCCAUACAUUUCCGUUGGUUCCUUAAAACAUGUACAUUUAACUAUUAUAACUUUAUUACUGCUACAAACAAUGUUAACUUGACUUAUUAUACAUUCUCGUUCUCUGGAUAGGUAAUACUGACAAUCGCGCAAGCGUAGAACCGAUCAUGUAGUGUCGUAAACCAUCGUAAAAGACGUUGAACUUCUGC
Molecule: long non-coding RNA, 2321 nt
Organism: Alosa sapidissima (American shad)
Lineage: Eukaryota; Metazoa; Chordata; Actinopteri; Clupeiformes; Clupeidae
Exons: 4
Source: RefSeq, a predicted model, not a curated record